UGGUAUAGCUCAGCUGGUAGAGCAACGCAUUCGUAAUGCGUGGGUCGCAGGUUCAAAUCCUGUUACCA
This 68-nucleotide transfer RNA is filed under the name Megamonas hypermegale. It matches the Rfam family "tRNA". From Rfam's summary of the family: Transfer RNA (tRNA) molecules are approximately 80 nucleotides in length. The record is from RNAcentral. Lineage: Bacteria; Bacillati; Bacillota; Negativicutes; Selenomonadales; Selenomonadaceae.